Molecule: long non-coding RNA, 1026 nt
Filed under: Junco hyemalis (dark-eyed junco)
Lineage: Eukaryota; Metazoa; Chordata; Aves; Passeriformes; Passerellidae
Description: lncRNA (ENSJHYG00000001135.1)
Source: RNAcentral
AUGAGCAAGACCUGCAGCUCAGCUGCUCGAGCUGUGCCGGGGAGGAAGGCCCUGGUGUCCCCUGUGUCACCUCUUGGUGUCCCCUGUGUCACCUGCAGACACACACACGAGUCCAGCUGGUGCUUCCAGCCCCAUCCCAGCCCUGCCGUGCUGGGGAGGCAGGCUGGGAGCUCUGGGAGUGCCUGGGACAGUGUCUGGGACACGAGGAGGGGAGGAAGGAAGGAGGCUGUCAGAGAAGUUGCACAAAGAGGAGGAGGAGGAGGAGGCUGCCCUGGUCCGUGCCCGCCUGCCCAGCAGCGUUGCAGUGCCCGAGGCUCCCUUGGGCUGGGGAUGAGCUGCUUUGGGCCUCAGUGGGAGCUCCUCUGUCCUCUGGGGGUGGGACAGGGUCACAGGGUGCAGGCUGUGACACCCCCAAAGAAUGGGGGGGUUCAGUGCUGCUUUCCAGGGCUCCUGGCACUGCUUUGGCAGCAAUCCCUCCCUGCUUGCCCACGGGGAGUGCCAGCGCUGCCAGGAGCCCCUGCUGGCACCUGGAUUGGGCUGUGUCCAGCCCCGGAUGGGCUCUACAGCAGCAAUGGGCUCUACAGCAGCAAUGGGCUCUACAGCAGCAAUGGGCUCUGCCCUGGCUGCACGAGGGAGCUGCAGCCUGGGAAACCACGCAGGAACACCACAGCCCACCCUGCCCAGGAGCUCCCUGCUGCUGGCCAGGUCCCUGCUGCAAGCCAGGGCCAGGAGAAGGAGGCUGCUGAGGUGGGAGAGGAGCUGGAGGUGCCUCUGCCCUGGUGUCAGUCGCUGUGUGGAGCAGGGGGCACUGUGGGUGUUGCUGAGCCUGGAGUGAGGUGCUGGCUCCAGGUUAACGCUGCUUUGAGCCACAGCUGCCUGAGCCCCUCUGCCUUUGCCCUGGCUCCUUCCCCAGCCCUGCAGUGGGGCCUGCCUGUGCAUCUGGGGGGCUGCACAAGUGCCUCGAGCCCCUGCACGCGCUUCCGUCCCCACCCUGGCUGGGGCACAGCCCCUUGGAGCCAGGUGUGA